CCGGUGAAAGGAAUCGAAGAACGGAGGUUCUGAGCGAGCUCACCUGCAACAAUGGCGGUGGCGACGGGUGGAGAAGACGGUCAUGGCACCGGGCGUUACACAGCUCUAGACUCAAAACUCUCAAUAGAGGAAUGAGGGAGGAGGGGUGGGGGCUCAAAGUGACGCGCUCGGAAUUCUCUUCCAUAGGCCAAGGAGGGAGAUCGGGUCAUGAACGUCGCCGGGCGGCAUUCGGGGCGCCGGUGCUACAUGGCAUUGAGAGCCACGAUUUGGGGAAGUUAAGGAGAGGAAUGGAAAGAGAAGGGCAGUGAGCUUAGGUUCAUAGCACCUGGACGCGAAACGGGAUAAGGAAGGGCGGGGAAUCGGGGGCUGAGAUCGUGGCGGUGUGCCCGUGCCCUUCUGUUCCUGGCGCACGCACGAGGAGGAAGACGUCCUGGUCGUCCUUUGGGCUGGGGCGGCUCGGCCUGGUAGGUGGGCCGGCCCAGCUGGGUCGGUCCAAACCUUUUUUUUUCUUUUUUUUUUCUAUUUUCUGUUUUUAUUAAUAACUUUUGAUUCCUAAGUCCAAAUAAGUUCAAAUAAACUCCAGAAAAUUUGUAAAUUCAAAUCCUCCAAGGUGUGAGCUUUUGGGACUUGAAUUCUUUCAAAAUAAAAUAAGU
This 653-nucleotide long non-coding RNA is filed under the name Brachypodium distachyon (stiff brome). RNAcentral describes it as "long non-coding RNA (BDIS_LNC003040)". The record is from RNAcentral. Lineage: Eukaryota; Viridiplantae; Streptophyta; Magnoliopsida; Poales; Poaceae.